This 301-nucleotide ribosomal RNA is filed under the name uncultured bacterium. Its description in RNAcentral is "partial 16S ribosomal RNA". It matches the Rfam family "Bacterial small subunit ribosomal RNA", at positions 509 to 809 of the family's 1533-position model. The record is from RNAcentral.
CAGUAGCCACGGGAAUACGGAGGGUGCAAGCGUUAUCCGGAUUUAUUGGGUUUAAAGGGUCCGUAGGCGGACUUAUAAGUCAGUGGUGAAAGCCUGUCGCUUAACGAUAGAACUGCCAUUGAUACUGUAAGUCUUGAGUAUAUUUGAGGUAGCUGGAAUAAGUAGUGUAGCGGUGAAAUGCAUAGAUAUUACUUAGAACACCAAUUGCGAAGGCAGGAUACCAAGAUAUAACUGACGCUGAGGGACGAAAGCGUGGGUAGCGAACAGGAUUAGAUACCCCUGUAGUCCCUGUCUCUUAUAA